UGGCGGACGGGUGAGUAACGCGUGGGUAACCUGCCCUGUACAGGGGGAUAACAGUCAGAAAUGACUGCUAAUACCGCAUAAGACCACAGCACCGCAUGGUACAGGGGUAAAAACUCCGGUGGUACAGGAUGGACCCGCGUCUGAUUAGCUGGUUGGUGAGGUAACGGCUCACCAAGGCGACGAUCAAUAGCCGGCUUGAGAGAGUGAACGGCCACAUUGGGACUGAGACACGGCCCAAACUCCUACGGGAGGCAGCAUG
This 259-nucleotide ribosomal RNA is filed under the name uncultured bacterium. Its description in RNAcentral is "partial 16S ribosomal RNA". It matches the Rfam family "Bacterial small subunit ribosomal RNA", at positions 96 to 353 of the family's 1533-position model. The record is from RNAcentral.